UGGGGAAUUUUGCACAAUGGGGGAAACCCUGAUGCAGCGACGCCGCGUGAUUUAGAAGGCCUUCGGGUUGUAAAAAUCUUUUCUAUGGGAAGAAAAUGACAGUACCAUAGGAAUAAGGACCGGCUAAUUACGUGCCAGCAGCCGCGGUAAUACGUAAGGUCCGAGCGUUGUCCGGAAUCAUUGGGCGUAAAGGGUACGUAGGCGGGUAAGCAAGUUAGAAGUGAAAUCCUAUAGCUCAACUAUAGUAAGCUUUUAAAACUGCUCAUCUUGGGGUAUGGAAGGGAGAGUGGAAUUCCUAGUGUAGCGGUGAAAUGCGCAGAUAUUAGGAGGAGUACCGGUGGCGAAGGCGACUUUCUGGCCAUAACCUGACGCUGAGGUACGAAAGCGUGGGUAGCAAACAGG
Molecule: ribosomal RNA, 402 nt
Filed under: bacterium
Lineage: Bacteria
Description: partial 16S ribosomal RNA
Rfam family: Bacterial small subunit ribosomal RNA
Source: RNAcentral